UGGGGAAUUUUGGACAAUGGGGGAAACCCUGAUCCAGCCAUCCCGCGUGUGCGAUGAAGGCCUUCGGGUUGUAAAGCACUUUUGGCAGGAAAGAAACGUCAUGGGUUAAUACCCCGUGAAACUGACGGUACCUGCAGAAUAAGCACCGGCUAACUACGUGCCAGCAGCCGCGGUAAUACGUAGGGUGCAAGCGUUAAUCGGAAUUACUGGGCGUAAAGCGUGCGCAGGCGGUUCGGAAAGAAAGAUGUGAAAUCCCAGAGCUCAACUUGGGAACUGCAUUUUUAACUACCGGGCUAGAGUGUGUCAGAGGGAGGUGGAAUUCCGCGUGUAGCAGUGAAAUGCGUAGAUAUGCGGAGGAACACCGAUGGCGAAGGCAGCCUCCUGGAAUAACACUGACGCUCAUGCACGAAAGCGUGGGGAGCAAACAGG
This 429-nucleotide ribosomal RNA is filed under the name Acidobacteriota bacterium. RNAcentral describes it as "Acidobacteria bacterium partial 16S ribosomal RNA". It matches the Rfam family "Bacterial small subunit ribosomal RNA", at positions 355 to 776 of the family's 1533-position model. The record is from RNAcentral. Lineage: Bacteria; Pseudomonadati; Acidobacteriota.